Molecule: ribosomal RNA, 245 nt
Filed under: uncultured bacterium
Lineage: Bacteria
Description: partial 16S ribosomal RNA
Rfam family: Bacterial small subunit ribosomal RNA
Source: RNAcentral
UACAGAGGGUGCAAGCGUUGUUCGGAAUCAUUGGGCGUAAAGCGCACGUAGGCGGUCUGCUAAGUCGGGUGUGAAAGCCCCAGGCUCAACCUGGGAAGUGCACUCGAAACUGGCGGACUUGAAUGUCGGAGAGGGUGGUGGAAUUCCGAGUGUAGAGGUGAAAUUCGUAGAUAUUCGGAGGAACACCAGUGGCGAAGGCGACCACCUGGACGAACAUUGACGCUGAGGUGCGAAAGCGUGGGAGC